GGCUGGUCCUCAGUGAGUUAUCUCAGUUAAUUGUUCAGUCAGUUAUAGAUCAAACUCCGUGUUCUCCUCUUUCUCCCUUCUCUCUCCUGCACUUUGACUAGUCUUAA
This 107-nucleotide Y RNA is filed under the name Carlito syrichta (Philippine tarsier). RNAcentral's name for it is "Y RNA (ENSTSYG00000028002.1)". It matches the Rfam family "Y RNA". From Rfam's summary of the family: Y RNAs are components of the Ro ribonucleoprotein particle (Ro RNP), in association with Ro60 and La proteins. The Y RNAs and Ro60 and La proteins are well conserved, but the function of the Ro RNP is not known. In humans the RNA component can be one of four small RNAs -- hY1, hY3, hY4 and hY5. Lineage: Eukaryota; Metazoa; Chordata; Mammalia; Primates; Tarsiidae. The record is from Rfam by way of RNAcentral.